Molecule: long non-coding RNA, 415 nt
Organism: Bos taurus (domestic cattle)
Lineage: Eukaryota; Metazoa; Chordata; Mammalia; Artiodactyla; Bovidae
Source: Ensembl
GCAUUUCCUCAGCUGGUUCCGAACCCAGCAUCACCUUCUGCUCAGCCAGUUCAUUUCAGUUCAGUUCAGUCACUCAGUCCUGUCCGACUCUUUGCGACCCCAUGAAUCGCAGCACGCCAGGCCUCCCUGUCCAUCACCAACUCCUGGAGUUCACUCAAACUCACGUCCAUCGAAUACCCUCUCUUUUUUUGGUCUCAUCUGUAUCUUGUCUGAGUAGGCACAGAGCAACAAGGGAGAGAUGAAAGUCGCGCCAGUCGUGUCAACUCUGUGCGACCCCAUAGAUGGCAGCGCACCAGGCUCCGCUGUCCCUGGGAUUCUCCAGGCAAGAAUACUGGAGCAGAUUGCCAUUUCCUUCUCCAGCGCGUGAAAGUGAAGUUGUGUCCAACUCUUCGCAACCCCAUGGGCUGUAGCCUAC